UAGGGAAUCUUCGGCAAUGGGGGCAACCCUGACCGAGCAACGCCGCGUGAGUGAAGAAGGUUUUCGGAUCGUAAAGCUCUGUUGUAAGAGAAGAACGUGUGUGAGAGUGGAAAGUUCACACAGUGACGGUAACUUACCAGAAAGGGACGGCUAACUACGUGCCAGCAGCCGCGGUAAUACGUAGGUCCCGAGCGUUGUCCGGAUUUAUUGGGCGUAAAGCGAGCGCAGGCGGUUUAAUAAGUCUGAAGUUAAAGGCAGUGGCUUAACCAUUGUUCGCUUUGGAAACUGUUAAACUUGAGUGCAGAAGGGGAGAGUGGAAUUCCAUGUGUAGCGGUGAAAUGCGUAGAUAUAUGGAGGAACACCGGUGGCGAAAGCGGCUCUCUGGUCUGUAACUGGCGCUGAGGCUCGAAAGCGUGGGGAGCAAACAGG
RNAcentral lists this ribosomal RNA (429 nucleotides) under bacterium. RNAcentral describes it as "partial 16S ribosomal RNA". It matches the Rfam family "Bacterial small subunit ribosomal RNA", at positions 355 to 776 of the family's 1533-position model. The record is from RNAcentral.